AGAAGGGCACACGGUGAAUGCCUAGGCACUGGAAGCCGAUGAAGGACGUGACAAACGACGAAAUGCUUCGGGGAGCGGUAAGUACGCAGAGAUCCGGAGAUAUCCGGAAUGGGGGAACCCGGCACCGCGAGGUGUCACCUUGAAUGUGAAUAGAUAGCAUUAAGGAGGAAGACGCAGUGAACUGAAACAUCUAAGGUACC
RNAcentral lists this ribosomal RNA (200 nucleotides) under chlamydia-associated clinical sample 834-G. RNAcentral's name for it is "partial 23S ribosomal RNA". It matches the Rfam family "Bacterial large subunit ribosomal RNA", at positions 13 to 211 of the family's 2925-position model. The record is from RNAcentral.